GAUGAACGCUGGCGGCGUGCCUAAUACAUGCAAGUCGAACGAGAGCCUUUGUAGCAAUACGAAGGUUUCUAGUGGCGAACGGGUGAGUAACGCGUUGGUGAUCUGCCCCGAAGUGGGGGACAACAGUCCGAAAGGACUGCUAAUACCCCAUGUGGUUACAAGGGUUAAAGGCCUUGUAACUAAAGGAGUAAUUCGCUUCGGGAGGAGCCUGCGUCCCAUCAGCUAGUUGGUAGGGUAAUGGCCUACCAAGGCUCAGACGGGUAGGGGACCUGAGAGGGUGACCCCCCACACUGGAACUGAAACACGGUCCAGACACCUACGGGUGGCAG
Molecule: ribosomal RNA, 329 nt
Filed under: uncultured Chloroflexota bacterium
Lineage: Bacteria; Bacillati; Chloroflexota
Description: bacterial SSU rRNA
Rfam family: Bacterial small subunit ribosomal RNA
Source: RNAcentral